Corythoichthys intestinalis (scribbled pipefish) is the source of this 916-nucleotide long non-coding RNA. RefSeq lists it as uncharacterized. The record is from RefSeq and is a predicted model, not a curated record. NCBI's taxonomy places the organism in Eukaryota, Metazoa, Chordata, Actinopteri, Syngnathiformes, Syngnathidae. The transcript is spliced from 3 exons.
UCAUGUAUCAAAUUUCUGACCAAUAUGUCGAUAAUCACUGUAUCGUGUUAUCGCGAGAUUAUCAUUAUCGUGAGCCUUCUAUCGCAAAUUGUAUUGUAUCGUGAGGUGCCCUGAGGUUCCCACUCCUAUUUUAAAGCCAGUGAGUUGCUCUCACCUGUGUUCUAUAGUUGACCAACAAAGCAGGCAGCAGCAGGAGAAGGCACUUGAUCCCCAUGAAGAGGAAUUUUAAGAUAAAAUUGGUGAUGCCCACUGCCCACAGGACUUCCCAGAAUCCCAGAGGCUCAAUAGUUGGACUGAGGAACACAAGGCUGCGCGUGGAGUUGUAAAGUGACUGAGGGAGGAAGGUGUAGUAAAGCAAAAGGGUAGAGGAAACCAGGAGCAGCAGCAGCAAUACGAAUUGCAGCUUCACAUGUCGACCCUGUAAGACACACAAGAGUCAUGUGGCCUGACAAACUUUCAUAAUGUACCUUCACAAAAUAAAUCAUGAAAAAAGUGGUGACGAGGCCAACACCAACAGCAAGCCCUGGUGAAAGAGAAGAAGCCAUUACGAUGUCAGGUGCUGUCAUGUUUUUGUUUCUCAGUUGCCCUUUCCGACACAUCAAAGCGCGCACUGUCUAUCAGCGAUGUCGGACAAUUGCCUUGCUUACUCCUGUGUUUGCCCCCAUCUUUGAUCAUUUUGGUUUUUGUGCUCUAUUUUCUGUUGGACUUUGUGCUCCCUUAGUUUUAAUUUGUUAAAUUCGCGUACUGUUUGGCAUGCUUCCUUUUUUGUACUUUGUUAUUAAAUUCCAACCUAUUCGCUUUUUCUGGUCUCUGAGUCUGUGAUUGAGAUCCACAUAAAUGGCUUGCCGUUCAUCACAACGGAUGUCUCCUUAUGACAAAAAAAAUGUUUAUAUUUCUGCUUAAUUGACAAAAUACU